GCAGCCCGCACGCGUCCCCCGCGGGGCGCGCGGCUCUUCACGGCGACAAACCGAAUCCCGAACUUCGCCGCAGGGACCCCACGGCCGACAAGGAGGAGCCCGGCGCCGCCACCCACCCGCGGGGCCACCGACCCGGAGGCCCGCGCCUCGUCCCGGGGCCCCCGGCACGCCCGGGACCUCUGAGGGGGCGCGUCCGCCGACCCGGCCAUCCCUGCGGCGCCGGGUCCCCAGCGUGUCGCCGCCGCCGUCGCCGCCGCGCUCCUCGGGGGGAGGGACCAGCGUCCCGGCGCGAGCCCAGAGGCCGCCCACCCGCGCCACUCCUUACCCGCGCCCGCCGCGCCAGCGCCUCAGAGCACCGAGGGCCGCCGCCGCCGCCGCUGUUUCGCCGGCCCCGGCGCCCGCGGCCGCGCCGCCGCCAUCUUGACUCCAGUCGGAAGUGACGUCGGGCGGCGAGGCAGUGGCCUGCGGGGCUGGGGGGCUCCGGGACCCCCGGUCUCCCCACGAUCCCAGAGCCCGGCCCUUGACCCUGCGCCGUCGCCCAAUGGCCACCACCCAGCCGCCCCUCGUAGGUCACCGCGGAUCCCAUGGCGGCGCCUCGGGAAGGAACCCCGGCGGCUGGCGUCGCGGCAAGUCCGACCGCACCCUAGGGCUAGGAUCCUGCGUGGUUCAAAGAUUCUCAAAGAAUCAAAAAGACUGAAGGAGGUGUUGGGGGGGCAUGUCUAUCGUUGGAGGUCAUUAAAUAUCUGACAAGUACAUAAACGUAGACCUUAUACUUCUACGUUUGGAUCUAUACCAAAAAGAUCCAACUCCAGGCAGACAGACGCAGCUGCUGGGUUUAUUUGCUGCCCUAGUACCCAGGAGCAGUGACCAACGCUGCCCUGUGCCCGCGAUGUUCCAGUGCAGCGCCUCUGAGAGCGCGGUAGUAGUCCUGCCCUUAAGGAGCUUGCUGUUCCCAAGCGGGCAAACAAAUGGACUGCAGAGACGACGACUCAUAGAUGUUCUGAUGAAGAUGAACUGGGUGGAACUGGAGAUGGCUCUUCGACAUCCAAGGGUGGAGGCCUAGCACGUGGUUGAAAAUGAGUUGAGUCGGGGAGAAGCACAGGCUGGAGAUGAGCUGGAAAGUUGGGAGUUGUCGUUAUAGAUGGUGCCUGGAGCCUUCAGCACUUCAAGAUAAAGUAAUCCUCUGAGAAUGAAGUCAGGAAGAAUCCGAAUGUGAUGGCUACGUUGGCCAUCUGCAGAAAGCACCCAGUGGAAAAACAGGAUACUAAGGGCAGGUGUGCUUCCAAAAAUUAUGAACGAUCAUUUAUGUAACAGGUUUAAUCUUAAGAAAACGUGUUGGCCGGGCGCAGUGGCUCACGCCUGUAAUCCCAGCACUUUGGGAGGCCAAGGCAGGUGGAUCACGAGGUCAGGAGAUCGAGACCAUCCUGGCUAACACGGUGAAACCCCGUCUCUACUAAAACUACAAAAAUUUAGCCGGCCGACGUGGCGGGUGCCUGUAGUCCCAGCUACUCCGGAGGCUGAGGCAGGAGAAUGGCGUGAACCCAGGAGACGGAGCUUGCAGUGAGCCAAGAUCGCCCCACUGCUCGCCAGCCUGGGCGACAGAGACAGACUCCAUCUCAAAAAAGAAAGAAAACGUGUUGUAUCAACAUAUAUCAUGUUAUCUUAUUGUAAAAGAAUGAGGCUAGGCCGGGCGCGGUGGCUCAGCCUGUAAUCCCAGCACAUUGGGAGGCCGAGGCGGGUGGAUCACGAGGUCAGGAGAUCGAGACCAUCCUGGCUAACACAGUGAAACCCCGUCUCUACUAAAAAUACAAAAAAUUAGCCAGGCGUGGUGGCGGGCGCCUGUAGUCCCAGCUACUCCGGAGGCUGAGGCAGGAGAAUGGCGUGAACCCGGGAGGCGGAGCUGGCAGUGAGCCAAGAUGCCCCACUGCUCUCCAGCCUGGGUGACAGAGCGAGACUCAGUAUCAAAAAAAAAAAAAAAAAAAAGAAUGAGGCUAUAGCUGAUGAUCGAGUCGGUUAUAGUAAACAAAUGAAGAUCACCUCAUUAGAGUAAAUUUUAUUAAGGCCUUGAGAAGUGACAGGGCUUAAGAAAAUAAGGAAAUAAAUCAAACCUCAAGGGUUUGCUUAUUUCUUCCGCUAUUCAAGGAAAAGAGACCCUAGAUCUGGGAGAUACCACGUGCCUGUCAUCAAAGUAGUAUUCUCUGUUGUGGAGCAAAGUCAUCAGACUUCUGCACCCCUUACCUAGAUUAAUACCUUCCAACUGGAUCCAUGCAUCGAAAUUAUCUGGGGUAUCUAUGAAGAAAAUAGGGAGACCCCACUGUUCCAUCCACCAUCAAAACACUGACAUAGAAAUCACCAUUUUAAGAGAAAAGCUAUGGGCCACCUGGCAUUCAAUAGAAUGCAAAAGGAAAAUAAAGGAUGUUAAAUCAGAAGUGGCACGGUGAACCAGAAUGGAUACUAGAUGGUUGGUUAACAGAGUAGCCAGUAGUUGUCUUUCCGGUUAUUAAUUCAUUAAUCCAAAGUGACUGGCUAUAUUAGUUUCCUGUGGCUGCUGUAACAAAUUAUCCCAACCCUGACAACAGAAGUUUAUUCUGUCACAACUCUAGAGGCUAGAAGUCCAAAAUCAGUAUCACUAGGCCAAAAUUAAGGUGGCAGCAGGGCCGGGCUCCCUCUGGAGUCUCUAGCAGAGAAUUGCUCCUUCCCUUUUCCAGCUUCUGGUGGCUGCCAGCAUGCCUUGGCUUGUGACUGCAUCACUCUAUCUUCAAGGCCAGUAUCUUCAAAUCUCUAUCUCCAUCUUCAUGUCAUCUUCUCCUGUGUAUGUGGUCAAAUUCCCUCUGCCUCCCUCUCAUAAUGAUACAUGUGAUUUAGGACCCACCCAGAUAAUCUGGCCAUCUCAAGAUCCUUCACUUAAUCACGUCUGCAAGACUACAUAUGAAGUAGCAUUUGCAGAUUCUGGACGUUAGGGAUGUGGAUUUAGGUAUGGGGCCAUUAUUUAGCCUACCACACUGGGUGUCUCCUCAGCGUUUCUGAGGUUCCCCCCACCCUUAAUCAGCCAUUGUGUGGUUUUUAUCUGUGUAUUUCUUGAACAUAUGUCUAUUUUUCAACCUGUGCUAUUUCUCAGGGUAAAUAAUUAAAUAUAAUUUGUUUAAUCCGAAAAAGAUCAGAGCCAACAAGAAUACAAUAAUUUAAUGAGCACUUAUUAUCCAUGUGAUAUGUUAAAUAUCAUUCUUUUGCCUCUUUGAAAAGGUAAAAUGUAUUGUUUAGCCUACCACGCUGGGUGUCUCCUCUGAGGUACCCCCACCCUUAAUCAGCCAUUGUGUGGUUUUCAUCUGUGUAUUUCUUGAACAUAUGUCUAUUUUUCAACCUGUGCUAUUUCUCAGGGUAAAUAAUUAUAUAUAAUUCAUGUAAUCCAAAAAAGAUGUGAGCCAUCAAGAAUACAAUUUAAUGAGCACUUAUUAUCCAUGUGAUAUGUUAAAUAUCACUCUUUUGCCCCUUUGAAAAGGUGAAAUGUAUUGCAGGCUGUUUCUGUAUGGGGAUGGAAGUAUAAAAAUAUACUCUUUGUCCAAGUCGACAACAUGAAUCAAACUCCACUCUACCCCAGUACACCUGGUACCAGUUCUGGCCGGUUUUGUACCUUGCUGCGGCAGUACCGUGAUGGAAGACAUGAUCAUCAUUCACCACAACAUCCCACUACCCAGAAGAGUGUCUGGCACACGAUAAAUGCUAAAUAGAUAUUUUUAAUUGGAAAAAAAGGCUUCUCCAUGGCCCUCUCAAUGUGGAUGUAUUACAGCAAGUAUGUUGCAGACUGCACCUUGUGCCUAUAAAUGACAGUAUAUUGUUCAUAUUAUUAUAAUAGGAACCACAGCACUCCUGCCCUGCAUAGCAGCUGGAAUGCCUGUAGCGCUUCCAAAAAGAUUGCAGAUCUUACAGCUGAGAUCCAAGAGUUUACCGUACAUUGCCAAUGAGAAUAAGUGGACUUCAAAUUCCCCGAAUGAUAACAAUACUUAUUCUCUGUUGGGCUCUGUUCUAGGUAUUUUACAUGCACUCUCUCACUCAUCCUCAUAACCUGUGUGAUAAGCACUAUCCUCCUUUACGGCUGAGGAUACUGAAGCUAGGAAGGGUUCAAGGACCUGCCUUGGCCAGGCGCAGUGGCUCAUGCCUAUAAUCCCAGCACGUUGGGGGGCCAAGGUGGGUGGAUCACUUGAGGUCAGGAGUUGGAGACUAGCCUGGCCAACAUGGUGAAACCCCAUCUCUACUAAAAAUACAAAAAAUUAGCCAGGAGUGGUGGCGCACACCUGUAAUCCCAGCUACUCAGGGGCCUGAGAUAGGAGAAUUGCUGGAAUUUGGGAGGUGGAGGUUGCAGUGAGCUGAGAUUGUGCCAUUGCACUCUAGCCUGGGCGACAGAGCAAGGCUUUGUCUCAAAAAAAAAAGGACUUGCCUCAUUAGUAAUACAACCAAGCUGAUAGGGUAGUUUGGCAGGACACACAGCCAUUUCCCUCUCAGCUUAGGAAGGCUGUCAUAAGACUAGGACUAGCUCUGCAAGGCAAGAGAAGGACAAUUUAAGAUGGAAAAAAAAAUAAUGGAACCAGGUUUUGAACAUAGACCAUUUAGCUCUCUAGUAAGCAACCUCCCCACCCCCAGAGCAUGCAUGCACGCACACAGACAUGCACACACACAAGCAUGAGAGCUAGACCAGGAACUGGUACACACAACCAUGCUACUCCAUGUGCCUAACUAGUCAUUCCUCCAUCGACAUACUCACGGUAGGGGCUGGGAAGGAUUUUUUUUUACAUUUUUUUUUAUUCAUUGCUAGAAUUAUUAGAAAACAUUGGAUGCAUAAAGCCACCGUUCUAAAUCCUGUCCCUGGACUGUCAGGCAAGAACAGCUAUUAAAAGAUCAUAGGCAUGGGCAAAGGAAGAGAAUCCAGUGCAGCUGAAUCAAAUGAACUCACCUUUUGUUCAGAUAACACAUCGCUUACCUUUAACAAAAAAAAAAAGAGACCCUUUUCUUGCGACUGCAAAUCAUGUUCUAUGAAAUCCAGCGUCUCUUCUGUUACAUCACCUUACUCUCUCCACCCGCCAUCCCUGUGCCACGUCAUUUACCUGAGCAAGGAAUGGCAUCCAAGCAAGCACGCCAGCCACUAAAAGAUCUGAAACUUGCGCUCUUCACGCAUGAAGUCCAGACAUAGCAACUCUGGGGGCUAAAGAUACAUCUUACCGCGUCAUAGGCACUUUUGGCUGCGUAGUUUCUGUGAGAAAAACCCCGCAGCCUCAAAAUGUAUAGGCAGAUCUUGGCAGUGGUGAAAUGUAGUUAUGUGAGAAAGGGAAAAGGGGUGACCUUUACUGAGCCCCAAGUCUGAGCUGGCACUUUAUACUACGUUGUCUUUUCAUCAUCUCGACAGCAGCAACAGCUGCUAAUUUUGCAGAUGAAGAAACUGAAGCUCAGAUUGUUGAGAGACACAGCUGGCUGGAAUAAGGGGGCAGGAUUGAAGGACUUCUCUGAUGUCAAAGUCCAUGAUGAGUCGCUGUUCAUUCAGCUUCGGGUCAUCAAGAUGCUCUUAGGCACUAGGGGCAAAGACGCCACCCCUCUCCUCCAAGAACUUAGGAUCCAGUGGAGGAGACAGGACUUACAAAGCAGGCUAGUCCUGGUGUGAAACCAGAACCGCAUUCCUGUGCUCCCAGCGUGCUCCGUGAUGGCUCGCUCCCCACACCUUUUUCCUUUUCAUUAUUACUCUUAAGAAAAAACAAAAAAGGCCGGGCGCGGUGGCUCACGCCUGUAAUCCCAGCACUUUGGGAGGCCGAGGUAGGCAGAUCAUGAGGUCAGGAGAUCGAGACCAUCCUGGCUAACACAGUGAAACCCCGUCUCUACUAAAAAUACAAAAAAUUAGCUGGGUGUGGUGGCGGGCACCUGUAGUCCCCGCUACUCGGGAGGGUGAGGCAGGAGAAUGGCGUGAACCCGGGAGGGGGAGCUUGCAGUGAGCCAAGAUCACGCCAAUGCACUCCAGCCUGGGCGACAGAGCGAGACUCCGUCUCAAAAAGAAAAAAAAGAAAACUGACUUGAAGAUGUUAAAAUUUCUUUUUUUUUCUUUUUUGAGACAGAGUCUCACUCUGUCAUUCUGUCACCCAGGCUAGAGUGCAGGAGUGCAGUAGUGCAAUCACAGCUCACUGCAGCCUUGACCUCCUAGGCUCAAGCAGUCCUCCUGCCUACAGAAUAGCUGCGACCACAGGCACAUGCCACCAUGCCCGGGUAAUUUUUGUAUUUUUAGUAGAGAUGAGUUUUUGCCAUGUUGCCCAGGCUGGUCUCAAACUCCUGGGCUCAAGUGAUCUGCCUGCCUCGGCCUCCCAAAGUUCUGGAAUUACAGGCAUGAGCCACCACACCCGGCCCAAGAUGCUAAAAUUUCUAACCAAUUCAAAUAUGUGGCUCUAGAGAUAACUUCACUCCAUUCUACAAAAAAAAAAAAAAAAAAAAAAAAAAAAAAAAAAAACUCCAGAGCACUGUUGCUAGGUUUUUCCAUUGUAUUUCUUAUAUCACAUUUUCUAGAACCAAACAUAUUAAUAAAUUAGGUGAAAAGUUCAGAAUUUCCCAAACAGAUGUCACUCCUUUCAAAACUUUUAGUGUAACAAGCUCAAAGACCCAUGCAGUUUGUUCCAGAGAAUACAAAGGGAAGUUUAAGCCUUCCUUGAAGGCAGAAUGAAUUCACUAAUACGCCACCGAGAACAUGAAUAAAACAUAUACAUUGACAGCAAAGACAUGAAGUGAAAAUAUUUUUCAGCUGGAAAUAGCAAGCAGCAUGAGAAGGAAUAGAAAAUAAAUCAGGUCCAGAAAUGAGCAGAUUGCACUGAGAUAGUAAAACGCUAAGCCUGGAUUUGUUUCCCCAGAUUCGAAGCUGUAGUGUGUUGCCUUACAGGGGCGUCUGUAGAUGAGAUGACCCGUCCUACCUACCCAGUCAGUGCUCACUCAUCACCAAGGUGAACCAUCUCUUACCCUGGAUCUGUGCUUCUCACCAUCCCCAUCUGCAUUCUAGAAAUGCCGUGCUCUCCAUUUUUCUUCACCCCGCUUUCUGUCUAAGAUUCACUCCUCACCCCUUCUCUCCUGCAUCCAAAUUUUGCCUUUCCUCAGAAGCCAGCUUUUUGAUGAAAUCUUCCCAUAGUUGCAUUAGUUUCCUAAGGCUACUGUAACCAAGAGCCACAAAACAAAUUCAGUGGUUUAAAACAGGGGUCCUCAACCCCCAGGCCACAGACCGAUACCCUGUUAGGAACUGGGCGACACAGCAGGAUGUGGGCAGCAGGCGAGUCAGGGAAGCUUAAUCUGUAUUUAUAAAGCCACUCGCCAUCACUGGCAUUACCGCCUGAGCUCCGCCUCCUGUCAGAUCAGUGGCAGCAUUAGGUUCUCAUAGGAGCAAGAACCCUAUUGUGAACUGUGCAUGCAAGGGAUCUAGGUUGUGAGCUCCUUAUGAGAAUCUAAUGCCUGCUGA
This 7471-nucleotide long non-coding RNA is filed under the name Homo sapiens (human). RNAcentral describes it as "non-protein coding lnc-LRRC38-8:1". The stretch from base 4427 to 4556 matches the Rfam family "Small Cajal body specific RNA 11". Lineage: Eukaryota; Metazoa; Chordata; Mammalia; Primates; Hominidae. The record is from RNAcentral.